RNAcentral lists this ribosomal RNA (561 nucleotides) under Geastrum triplex. Its description in RNAcentral is "eukaryotic LSU rRNA". The stretch from base 193 to 347 matches the Rfam family "5.8S ribosomal RNA". Lineage: Eukaryota; Fungi; Basidiomycota; Agaricomycetes; Geastrales; Geastraceae. The record is from RNAcentral.
GUAACAAGGUUUCCGUAGGUGAACCUGCGGAAGGAUCAUUACUGAAGUUGAUCUGAGACUGCCGUUAUUGGUGUGCUCGAUCUUUUUCAUCCACACACACCUUUGUGCACCCUGGGGGGAUUGUUCCCCCCCUUUACAUACAUAAAAACCAGUUAUAUGCAUGUCAUUACAUACUCUAAGGAGUAAUUGUACAACUUUCAACAACGGAUCUCUUGGCUUUCGCAUCGAUGAAGAACGCAGCGAACGUGCGAAACGUAAUGUGAAUUGCAGAAUUCAGUGAAUCAUCGAAUCUUUGAACGCAUCUUGCGCUCCUUGGUAUUCCGAGGAGCAUGCCUGUUUGAGUGUCGUGUAAUACUCUCAAUUCUAAUCUUUGUGAUUGGAAUUGGACUUGGGUGUUGUUGUGUAUCACAACUCGUCCUAAAUGCAUUAGCGAUCUGGCUUUGAUCACACACAAUGUGAUAAUCACAAUACAUUGUUACAAUCUGAGUCAUGGUUGCUUCUAAUCCCCAUCUUAUGUCAUUUGACCUCAGAUCAGGCAGGACUACCCGCUGAACUUAAGCA